Molecule: non-coding RNA, 30 nt
Filed under: Rattus norvegicus (Norway rat)
Lineage: Eukaryota; Metazoa; Chordata; Mammalia; Rodentia; Muridae
Source: RNAcentral
UUAUGGAAGUUAAACCUGACCAGUCUUUGC